UUAGUUGAAGCCAAAUUAGAGGCAAAUCAUUGUUAAUGAUUUAAUUGAUACAAUCCUACUGUU
RNAcentral lists this transfer RNA (63 nucleotides) under Pseudoniphargus elongatus. Its description in RNAcentral is "tRNA-Asn". The record is from RNAcentral. Lineage: Eukaryota; Metazoa; Arthropoda; Malacostraca; Amphipoda; Allocrangonyctidae.